AAGACUAUACUCUCAGGGAUCAUUUCUGUAGUUCGUUGCUAGAGACGUUUCUCUGACUGUGUAGAGCACCUGAGACCAUGAGGACUAGACAUAGUGUUCUGUUCUGUGUACGAAGGCGGCCCUAGGAGCUGCUUUUCUGCAGCUGCUUCUUGCCAUUGAUAGUUGUUCUUCUCUCCCUUUGGGGGAGAGAGAGGGGAGAAGGAGAAGGAGAAGGAGAGAAGAGGAAAAGGGAGAGGGAGUUAAUGCAAUCUGAGUAGA
Molecule: small nucleolar RNA, 258 nt
Gene: U3
Rfam family: Small nucleolar RNA U3
About the family: Small nucleolar RNAs (snoRNAs) are involved in the processing and modification of rRNA in the nucleolus. There are two main classes of snoRNAs: the box C/D class, and the box H/ACA class.
Source: Ensembl